RNA transcript from Brassica oleracea var. oleracea, 3927 nucleotides. It is a transcript of the gene named ubiquitin carboxyl-terminal hydrolase 8-like, with no coding region annotated. NCBI's taxonomy places the organism in Eukaryota, Viridiplantae, Streptophyta, Magnoliopsida, Brassicales, Brassicaceae. The transcript is spliced from 18 exons. The record is from RefSeq and is a predicted model, not a curated record.
AAAAAAAAAAAUCUCUCUCUAUUUUGUCGUGCGUGCGUACGGGCGUGCGUUGUUAGAUGGUGACUGUCUGAAGAAAAGAUCGGUCCCUCCUCUCCGUAAACAUCUCUCUCUCUCUCUCUCUCUCUCUCUCUCUCUCUCUCUCUCUCUCUCCCUGCGAAUCUUUGCUUUUGGCAAUCGUGUGCGGAGGAACUAUGAGCGUGGCAUCAACGUCCGAGGAAUCUCCCGAUUCAGCUCAGCGGAUCGAUUCGUUCAACGGCGAGCAGAGCGUCUAUUUCGUCCCCUUCAGGUGGUGGAAAGAUGCUCAAGAGUCAGUGCCUUGUGAAUCUGUUGAGAAAAGAGAGAUCUUGUAUACAGCAGCGACUACUGGGUCGUCUUACGGAGGCCCUAUGAAGUUGAUUAACAACAUCUUUAACUCCGAUAUCUUGUUUGAUCUGAGGAGAGAAGGUGAUGAUGCGUUACAGAGUAAUGACACGGGAGAAGCAAGCGUCUCAGGCAGGGACUUUGCUUUGGUCUCAAGUGACAUGUGGCUGCAGGCACUCAAAUGGCACCAUAACGAUAAAAUUAAUGAGAAAGGCGUGAAAAGUUUCUCCACUGGAGGCGUUGACAGAGGCGAUGUUUAUCCAGUACAACUCAGGCUCUCCGUCUUGCAGGAAACCAAUUCAUUGGCGGUUAAAAUUUGCAAAAAGGACAAUUCAGUUGAGUGCUUCAGACGAGCAUGCAAGAUAUUCAGUUUGGAUUCGGAGCAGCUGCGCAUUUGGGAUAUUUCUGGGCAAACAACCUUGUUUUUCCAAAAAGAUAUGAACAAUUCCAAGGCUUGCCAACAACAAACAGAUCAAGAAAUUCUUCUAGAGCUGCAGAUUUAUGGGUUAUCAGACUCCAUCAACUUGAAGGAAUCUAAAAAAGAAGAUGGUUCCACACAUCAAACCAACGGAAUUACCAAUGGCACAACUUUCAGAUUUGGACGGAGUCAUUCUUUGAGCUUUUUGGGAAAAGCUGGAGAAGCCGGAACUUUGGGGCUGACAGGCUUGCAGAAUCUAGGAAAUACUUGUUUCAUGAACAGCUCCCUUCAGUGCUUGGCUCACACACCAAAGCUUGUUGAUUUCUUUCUUGGAGAGUACAUCAGAGAAAUAAAUCUGGAGAACCCAUUGGGAAUGAAAGGUGAGAUCGCCUUAGCUUUUGGUGACUUGUUAAGGAGUUUGUGGGCUCCAGGUGCAUCAACAGUGACCCCAAGGACAUUUAAAGCAAAACUUGGCCGCUUUGCUCCUCAGUUUAGUGGCUUUAAUCAGCAUGAUUCGCAGGAACUUCUAGCUUUCUUGCUGGAUGGACUUCACGAGGACUUAAACCGUGUAAAGAACAAGCCAUAUGUGGAAGCAAAAGAUGGAGAUGGCCGUCCAGACGAAGAAGUGGCUGAUGAAUAUUGGCGAAAUCAUAUGGCUCGGAACGAUUCAAUAAUUGUUGAUGUGUGCCAAGGCCAGUACAAGUCAACAUUAGUUUGUCCUAUUUGCAAAAAGGUUUCGGUUAUGUUUGAUCCGUUCAUGUACCUAUCGCUACCUUUGCCAUGCACGUCAAUUCGAACAAUGGAUUUAACAGUCAUGAGUGCCGAUGGAGGUAGUCUGCCUGUCUCAGUGACUGUCAACGUUCCCAAGUUUGGAAAAUUUGAAGAUCUUCAGAAAGCUCUUGUAACUGCCUGCUCUUUGCCAGAGGACGAGACUUUAAUGGUUACUGAGGUGUACAACAAUCGGAUUCUUCGUGUCCUGGAGGAUCCUAGUGAUUCAUUGUCCUUGAUCAGAGAUGGUGACAAACUUGUCGUGUAUCGGUUAAAGAAAGAUGCAAACGAUUCUCCUUUGAUUGUAUUUAUGCAUCAGAAGCUGGAAGAGCAGUUCAUCUGUGGGAAAUCAAGCCCAACUUGGAAGGGAUUUGGAAUCCCCUUGGUCUCGAGGCUUUGUGAUGUCGAGAAUGGAUUUGAUGUUGAGAAGAUGUACCUUAAGUUGCUUAGUUCAUUUAAGAUGCCUAGUGAAGUCUUCACAGAGAAUCUUGAAAAUCCUACCGAAGAAGAAGCAACUGAAAAAGCAGGUACGGAUGGUACUACUUCAGCUGAGGAUAAAAAUUCCACUGAUGUGAAGGAGACUACUGAGUCUGUUCCAGACCCUGUGUUGAGGCUUUACCUAACCGACGACAUAGGAGGCUCAAUAGAAUCUGAGAUAUUGAAAGAAAAGCCUGUAAAUAUCAAAUCCAAGCGGUUGAAUGUGCUUGCACGUUGGCCAGUAAAAGAGCUAGACGUUUAUGAUACUUGUCUUCUGAGCUCCUUGCCUGAGGUUUCCAAAUUUGGAACUAAGAGGCCCCAGGAAACCGUCUCGCUUUACAAGUGCCUUGAAGCAUUCUUGACGGAGGAGCCUCUUGGUCCUGAUGACAUGUGGUAUUGUCCUGGCUGUAAAGAACACCGACAAGCCAUUAAAAAGUUGGAUCUCUGGAGGUUGCCAGAGAUACUGGUGAUUCAUCUGAAGAGGUUUUCUUAUAGCCGGUUUAUGAAGAACAAGCUGGAGGCCUUUGUGGAUUUCCCGAUAGAUGGUUUUGAUCUGUCAAGCUACAUCUCAUACAAGAAUGGUCAGACGACUUAUCGCUACAUGCUCUAUGCGAUUAGCAAUCACUAUGGAGGCAUGGGAGGUGGUCAUUACACUGCAUAUGUCCACCAUGGGGGAGAUCGAUGGUAUGACUUUGAUGAUAGCCAUGUCAAUCAGAUCAGCCAAGAAAAGAUCAAGACGUCGGCUGCUUACGUUCUGUUUUAUAAACGUUUAGUAGAAGAAUAAUGAACCAGAAGCUGAAAGAAGAAGAAAGAGUACAUGAUAAAGAUCAGAGCAGCUGUGUGUUGAGGCUUGCAAACAGAAGAAGAAGAAGAGCUGAGGACAUGUUGCGGGGAAUUCAUUUUAUUUAUACAAAAGUUGGUGUCUGAUUAUAUCAUUGAACAAUCUUCAAUUUAGAGUAGGAAGAAUAGAGAAAUGCGUUUGAACAAAACCCUAAACCCUUAAAUUGUCCAGUCUUGUGACUGACCAUAAGAGUGUCUGUCGAAAUGAAUGCCAUCACAACCUCAAGGGUUCGAUUUCGCUUGGAUAUAACCCUAACUUAGAAACAUCUGCCUCGAGAAAAUAGUUUUGCUGGAUUCUGUUGAUGUAGAACUGUUACUUGGGGUUUAUGCAUGCUUCCAGUUACAUAUGGUUAUGGGAGAACGUAAUAUACAGUAUUGCAAUCUCUAUGAGUUAGGGACGUGCAAAUCCAUUGGAGGGUGUUCCACCUGCUGUUAAAACAGAUUUGACUAAAAAAAUAUAAUGAGACGAGUAAAACCAGAAUGGUACGUGCUGCUGACAUGGUGCAGCUUCCGGGAGUGAAGAAGGCACCAAAGAAGCGAAUAGCUGCAAUGCUUGAACCAACUGUUGAAAGUUUGAGCGGUGAAGAUGGCGAGCCGGUAGCAGAAAAUGAAGAAGAAAAUGAAUCAGACGCUGAAGACUCAGAAGAAGCAACUAAUGGAGAAAAGCUGGAGUCAAAUCUAAAAAUCUGAAUGCCAGAGGGAUCCAAGUUGAUAUGGAUUUGAAAGGGGCUGGAACCUCAGGUUCAAGAAAGGCAGCUGGCAGAGGCAGAGGCAGAGGCAAAGCCGCAGAAGCUGAGAAGGCGCCGGUUCCAAGAGAAAGAGAUGAGAAGCCAAAGACGUCUCGUUUUUUCAGGCAAGAUUAUCAAAGAAAUGUAUCUUUCUGGAAUGUUCAUGUUCAGGUAGGCUUUUUUGUUAGUUUUCUUUUCCAGGAUUGACAAAUGAAUUUGUGCUGUUUCUGGUGGUAUGUAAGGGUGGAUUCUAGACUCCUAGUUUGUAUCGAACACACAAGGCCAAUACCUUUUUGAACUAUGGGAAUAAGCAUCUGCUCCCACCUAUAAUGCACC